Molecule: long non-coding RNA, 741 nt
Filed under: Nicotiana benthamiana
Lineage: Eukaryota; Viridiplantae; Streptophyta; Magnoliopsida; Solanales; Solanaceae
Description: long non-coding RNA (NBEN_LNC018172)
Source: RNAcentral
CCGCAAUUCGCAAAACAGAGCCCCCCAUCAUCGCCUCUCUGCUUCAAAAAAACAACCCAUGAAGCUCAUCUUCUUGGAUGAAACCAGCCUCACCAGCUCCUCCACUCACCUCCCAGCUCGACGGACUCUGGCAACAACCAGUAGUUGACUUUCGCACGACCCUUCGCCGGAAAACAAGUCGCACAGCAACAAACACACACACACGACCCCUCGCCAGAAAUCUAGUCGCACAGCAGCAAACACACACCCAUGACGAGCUCUCACCUCUCUUAUAAACUAAAACGAAAACAAAAAUAGUGGGGGAAGGGAAUUGAAAUCGAAAUAGAAAGGGGGGAAAGGAACGGGAAAACAGGGGAGUUGAAAACAGUGAGAAUAGAAGGAUUGAACGGACUUGUUUCAUUCUUAUUUCGAAUUCGAAUAUCUUCGAUUUUAAUGUCGAAUUCUGGCUUUCUUCUGAUUUUCAAUUUGGGUUCCUAUCUGAGGUGAGCGUGGAGUUCGUUGACAGUCUCGCUGAGGCUUCCGUUCGAGAUUUCGUGGCGGAUUGGCCUUUGCUCCAGUUUUUCUUUUCGAUUUUUAGUUGUGUAUCAGGUAUGAAUCUCGAUUCAAAAUGCUGAAAUUGUUGAUCUGUUUGCCAUUAUUUUCUUACGCUCCGAUUUUUCCUUUGGAUUGUUGAAACAUAUGUUCUUUGUGCUGAUUGUUUACUGCCUCUAUUUGUUGAAGUAAGCUGAUUCACAUUCAGCC